UGUCCUCUUCCUAUCUGAAACUUUGAAGCUUAUGUACAGAGCAAAUGCCAGGGCUAGCAAAACUAAUGCUGGUCCUAGAUUUACCUACUGAUUUAAAAUUUAAAAAAAAAAUAGUAAAAUAAAAAAAUGUUUUAUAAACCCAGGG
This is a long non-coding RNA of Gopherus evgoodei (Goodes thornscrub tortoise), 145 nucleotides long. RefSeq lists it as uncharacterized. The transcript is spliced from 3 exons. Lineage: Eukaryota; Metazoa; Chordata; Testudines; Testudinidae. The record is from RefSeq and is a predicted model, not a curated record.